Long non-coding RNA from Calypte anna (Anna's hummingbird), 232 nucleotides. RefSeq lists it as uncharacterized. The transcript has 3 exons. The record is from RefSeq and is a predicted model, not a curated record. Lineage: Eukaryota; Metazoa; Chordata; Aves; Apodiformes; Trochilidae.
GUGAUGUUCACAGCUGCAGCACUGAAGGCAGGACCUGUAUAUUUCUUUGACCAGCUGAAACCUAGAAUGAAAGAGAUGGUCAAGAAGAUACCAGAAGAAGAGUCCUCAUAUUUCACUACAAGUCAUCCCCCUGGCUUUACUCCCAGCCCAGCUGUAGACAGGAGUGCUGUCUGUACAGGCAAGCAUGCAGAAAGUCGUGAAGAUUUUUUCUUAAAUGAUACAACAAGCAGUU